CCUACGGGAGGCAGCAGUCGGGAAUAUUGGGCAAUGGGCGCAAGCCUGACCCAGCGACGCCGCGUGAGGGAUGAAGGCCUUCGGGUCGUAAACCUCUGUCGGGAGGGAAGAAUGGCGGUGAGGCGAAUAGUCUCGCUGUCUGACGGUACCUCCAAAGGAAGCGCCGGCUAACUCCGUGCCAGCAGCCGCGGUAAUACGGAGGGCGCAAGCGUUGUUCGGAAUCACUGGGCGUAAAGCGCGUGUAGGCGGCCGGGUAAGUCGGAUGUGAAAUCCCGAGGCUCAACCUCGGAACUGCAUUCGAAACUGCUCGGCUCGAGUCCCGGAGAGGAUGGCGGAAUUCCCGGUGUAGGGGUGAAAUCCGUAGAUAUCGGGAGGAACACCAGUGGCGAAGGCGGCCAUCUGGACGGUGACUGACGCUGAGACGCGAAAGCGUGGGGAGCAAACAGGAUUAGAUACCCUGGUAGUCCACGCCGUAAACGGUGAGUGCUAGACGUCGCGGGUAUUGACCCCCGCGGUGUCGAAGCUAACGCGUUAAGCACUCCGCCUGGGGAGUACGGCCGCAAGGCUAAAACUCAAAGGAAUUGACGG
Molecule: ribosomal RNA, 588 nt
Filed under: uncultured bacterium
Lineage: Bacteria
Description: bacterial SSU rRNA
Rfam family: Bacterial small subunit ribosomal RNA
Source: RNAcentral